GAUGAACGCUGGCGGCGUGCCUAAUACAUGCAAGUCGAGCGAACGGACGAGAAGCUUGCUUCUCUGAUGUUAGCGGCGGACGGGUGAGUAACACGUGGAUAACCUACCUAUAAGACUGGGAUAACUUCGGGAAACCGGAGCUAAUACCGGAUAAUAUUUUGAACCGCAUGGUUCAAAAGUGAAAGACGGUCUUGCUGUCACUUAUAGAUGGAUCCGCGCUGCAUUAGCUAGUUGGUAAGGUAACGGCUUACCAAGGCAACGAUGCAUAGCCGACCUGAGAGGGUGAUCGGCCACACUGGAACUGAGACACGGUCCAGACUCCUACGGGAGGCAGCAGUAGGGAAUCUUCCGCGAUGGGCGAAAGCCUGACGGAGCAACGCCGCGUGAGUGAUGAAGGUCUUCGGAUCGUAAAACUCUGUUAUUAGGGAAGAACAUAUGUGUAAGUAACUGUGCACAUCUUGACGGUACCUAAUCAGAAAGCCACGGCUAACUACGUGCCAGCAGCCGCGGUAAUACGUAGGUGGCAAGCGUUAUCCGGAAUUAUUGGGCGUAAAGCGCGCGUAGGCGGUUUUUUAAGUCUGAUGUGAAAGCCCACGGCUCAACCGUGGAGGGUCAUUGGAAACUGGAAAACUUGAGUGCAGAAGAGGAAAGUGGAAUUCCAUGUGUAGCGGUGAAAUGCGCAGAGAUAUGGAGGAACACCAGUGGCGAAGGCGACUUUCUGGUCUGUAACUGACGCUGAUGUGCGAAAGCGUGGGGAUCAAACAGGAUUAGAUACCCUGGUAGUCCACGCCGUAAACGAUGAGUGCUAAGUGUUAGGGGGUUUCCGCCCCUUAGUGCUGCAGCUAACGCAUUAAGCACUCCGCCUGGGGAGUACGACCGCAAGGUUGAAACUCAAAGGAAUUGACGGGGACCCGCACAAGCGGUGGAGCAUGUGGUUUAAUUCGAAGCAACGCGAAGAACCUUACCAAAUCUUGACAUCCUUUGACAACUCUAGAGAUAGAGCUUUCCCCUUCGGGGGACAAAGUGACAGGUGGUGCAUGGUUGUCGUCAGCUCGUGUCGUGAGAUGUUGGGUUAAGUCCCGCAACGAGCGCAACCCUUAAGCUUAGUUGCCAUCAUUAAGUUGGGCACUCUAAGUUGACUGCCGGUGACAAACCGGGGGAAGGUGGGGAUGACGUCAAAUCAUCAUGCCCCUUAUGAUUUGGGCUACACACGUGCUACAAUGGACAAUACAAAGGGCAGCGAAACCGUGAGGUCAAGCAAAUCCCAUAAAGUUGUUCUCAGUUCGGAUUGUAGUCUGCAACUCGACUACAUGAAGCUGGAAUCGCUAGUAAUCGUAGAUCAGCAUGCUACGGUGAAUACGUUCCCGGGUCU
Molecule: ribosomal RNA, 1372 nt
Filed under: uncultured bacterium
Lineage: Bacteria
Description: bacterial SSU rRNA
Rfam family: Bacterial small subunit ribosomal RNA
Source: RNAcentral